RNAcentral lists this ribosomal RNA (301 nucleotides) under uncultured bacterium. Its description in RNAcentral is "partial 16S ribosomal RNA". It matches the Rfam family "Bacterial small subunit ribosomal RNA", at positions 509 to 807 of the family's 1533-position model. The record is from RNAcentral.
CAGUCGCCGCGGUAAUACGGAGGGAGCUAGCGUUGUUUGGAAUUACUGGGCGUAAAGCGCGCGUAGGCGGUUACUCAAGUCAGAGGUGAAAGCCCGGGGCUCAACCCCGGAACUGCCUUUGAUACUGGGUGUCUUGAGUGUGAUAGAGGUAUGUGGAACUCCGAGUGUAGAGGUGAAAUUCGUAGAUAUUCGGAAGAACACCAGUGGCGAAGGCGACAUACUGGAUCAUUACUGACGCUGAGGCUCGAAAGCGUGGGGAGCAAACAGGAUUAGAUACCCCCGUAGUCCCUGUCUCUUAUAC